AACAGAUGUGCUUUAGAUGUUCUGAUUGUUAUCCAUCACAUACCAAUCAGGAUGGCUUCAGAUGCAGCCAGAGUCGGAGAAAAUCCCGUAAGAAAAGCUGUGACUCCCGCCGAUUGCACAUUUCAAUGAGGUUACACAAAACGACAGCAGGCACACAGGCCACAGUUCAUUUGAUGUUUAGAACACUGCAAAAAGCGUGAACUGGUAGAGGAACUGAUGGGUCUUAAAAGCACACAGUGGUCUCGUGAAAUAUUCAGUUUUUUUUAGUAAUUUCUAGUAACUAAAAUUUGUAUGAUCAAUAGAACACUUAAAACCUUUGCACAGCACCGCGCAUACAUCAUGACGCAUGGAAUUGUGUGCUUUUGCAGAUUGUUUUUAUACACAUUCUCACAUUCAGUUUAACCCACUCCACGGCAGGUGAUAUUCCCCGUUUUCCCCCGCGUUUACCCUUUACCCACAGACCUCAACAAAACAGACUAUUUGCUUGUUUUUCUUUUUCUUUCUUUUUUUUUUCAAAAUCCAUCCACACACAAAUAUUGACGUGCUUUUUCAAACCCACACUGAGAAACAUGACAGUAUGUUAUUUUUUAUCCACUUUUUUUUUUCUUCUGUUUCUUUUUUUUUUUUUUAUGUUUUUCUUUUUUCUUCAUCAAGGACAGAUUAUGUACAUAGAGAUGUUAUACGCCACUGAAAAAUCCAGCGGAACGCUUACAUGGAACAAAAAAAACGGUAAGUGAUAAAACUAAAAACAAAAGCAUAAGAGGCAUGUAGAUAGUGACAGGAGACAGGAAAAAAUAAGAAACACUGACCAAAUGACCUGCUCUUGUGCUUGAAAUGGAACCCGUCGUUGUUUAUGAAGCAACAAGAUGCAUGCACAACGGGCGUGUUGUCACGCAGACGACCCAAAUACAUUGCAGCGGGCAAGACUUUUGAGAACAACAUGUAUUGUAAUGUUUUAGAAUAAGGGCCAUUUAAACAGAGCUUCACAAUCAUUUCAGAGUACUGUACACAAUAAAAGUACAACAACAGACUUAUUUGAUUUACCUUGUUAAUGGCAGAUUUUCAGAUAUUACACCACAGCUUUAACCAUGACUGACAUCUCUUGCACAGUAGAAUUAGGGGUUAUUGCUGGCUUGAACCAAAAAUUUGAGUAAAAUAACAAAUAAAUAAAAGAAAAAAACACACACACAUUCAGACAUUUGAUUCAAUAUCGAG
Astatotilapia calliptera (eastern happy) is the source of this 1215-nucleotide long non-coding RNA. The record is from Ensembl. NCBI's taxonomy places the organism in Eukaryota, Metazoa, Chordata, Actinopteri, Cichliformes, Cichlidae.